UACGUAGGGUGCAAGCGUUAAUCGGAAUUACUGGGCGUAAAGCGUGCGCAGGCGGUUAUGUAAGGCAGAUGUGAAAUGCCCGGGCUUAACCUGGGAACUGCAUUUGUGACUGCAUGGCUAGAGUGUGUCAGAGGGGGGUAGAAUUCCACGUGUAGCAGUGAAAUGCGUAGAUAUGUGGAGGAAUACCGAUGGCGAAGGCAGCCCCCUGGGAUAACACUGACGCUCAUGCACGAAAGCGUGGGGAGCAAACAGG
This 253-nucleotide ribosomal RNA is filed under the name uncultured bacterium. RNAcentral's name for it is "partial 16S ribosomal RNA". It matches the Rfam family "Bacterial small subunit ribosomal RNA", at positions 524 to 776 of the family's 1533-position model. The record is from RNAcentral.